Molecule: ribosomal RNA, 253 nt
Filed under: uncultured bacterium
Lineage: Bacteria
Description: partial 16S ribosomal RNA
Rfam family: Bacterial small subunit ribosomal RNA
Source: RNAcentral
GACGGAAGGUGCAAGCGUUGCUCGGAAUCACUGGGCGUAAAGGGUGCGUAGGCGGCUUCGUCAGUCGGGUGUGAAAGCCCCGGGCUCAGCCUGGGAAGGGCAGUCGAUACUGCGAAGCUGGAGUGCCGGAGGGGAGAGUGGAAUUCCUGGUGUAGCGGUGAAAUGCGUAGAUAUCAGGAGGAAUACCGGUGGCGAAAGCGACUCUCUGGACGGCAACUGACGCUGAGGCACGAAAGCGUGGGGAGCAAACAGG